ACUCAGUUCUCUCACCAUGCGAUUGCCCUGCAACACCUUGGAACUCUGCAGAGAGUAGCCAGCAGGAAGGUCUCACCUGAGGUGAACCUUCGACCUUGGACUUCUUAGCCUCCAGAAUGAAAAAUGGCAACCAUCAAAUCAAGAAAUUGGCCCAAAGCCCUACAGUCUGCAAACAUCAUAACAAUUCAUCCUGAAGUUUCUCCAUGAAAUGUGAUGCUUUGCUACAUCAUUCUGCAAUCCCAGAAGAUUUUUUCAUAUUUUUUUGCUAUUACAGAAAAAUCUCAGUCUCCCUCCCUCUCUCUCUCUCUCUGUGUGUCUCUUUUACUCCAUAUCUCUCUGUGUGUGUCUCUUUUACUCCAUAUCUCUCUGUGUGUGUCUCUCUGUUUAUGUCUCUCUCUCUCUCUCAUCCUUCCCAUGUUUCUCUCUCUCUCACACACACACACACUCAUUCACAGCUUUCAAAAGACACUUCUGUCCUUACCUUCACUUUUUGUUUUAAACAGCACACUCACUUUACUCUGAACUAUACCUCACAUGCACACGAGCUUUCUGCUCCAUCUGUUCAUCCCACAUGUGUCUUCACAUUCAAAGCAGCACCUUCCCCAAGACCAGCUCCCUAACCACCUCCCACCUCCACCCCAUCCCUAGUCAGAGGAAGGCCUGGUUCCCACCUGAAUUCAGCUUUGUCAAAGAGCCUCCUGGAAAGCUGUCAUCUUCAGUUAGUAGGGAUAAUGGGAUUAUUCUAUCUGUGUAAUAAUAACAUGUUCAAUUUAAAGAAAAAAAUCUGAAGCCACUUAAAAGCUGCUGUUUGGCACCGAUACAUUAUUCCAGUAAUGAAUAAUCAUUAAAGAUAUUAUUCUGGAUGCAGUUACCAUGCAGUGAUGUGAAUAAAAUGCAUUAGAUGGAAAAUUGUAUUUCAAGUAAAUAUAUGCACUGGUAGAAAUGUAUUACCACCCACUAAUAUGUAUUAAUUCAAAACCAAAUGCCAACUGGAGUUCGCCUACACGGGUUUGAAUGGCAGGCAGUGAUUUGGAAGUGGGAGGAAAUAGGUUUGGAUUUGGUCAAAUAGACUUAGAAGUGAUAGUGGGGGCGGGGGUUUAUGACUCAAACAUUAACAGGUGACAAGACUAUGCCAUGGACAGAACAGGUAUGAGGGGCUCCCCUCCUACACCUCUUUAAGAGAUUUUUAUCUCUGACUAAGGAUUACUGGUAGUUGUUGACAUUUCUGAAGCAGUGGAUCUUUUUCCCUUUUCACUAUCUGCAACUUCAAAUAUUCUUUUCUGAAGAAAGUUAAAAGGAAGCCUGUACAUUUUUUGCUAAGGUAAAUGCCUUGCCAUCUUAUUUCAUUUUCUCAUUUUUUUCUUCAGUGCACAACAUAAGCAACUGUCCUCCUUGUCAUACUCAAGAUGAGCUUGGCACAUCUGAAAUCUGCAGGAAUUUUCUCAUUAGCACAGGGUUCCAAGCCCAAACCGUGAAGAUGGAGUUUUCAUUUUUAAAUGGCACAUCUUCAAGUUCUUGCCCUGUCCUCACUUUAGUAUGCCCCAGAGGAAGUCAAAGAUAUGGACACUCUAAGACUCAGAAGAACCUUCUCAGGCAUUCAUUUUCCUAUCUAUUUUGAGCCAUUUUAUUUAAAAGGUUACAAUUUUAAACCUCUCUUUAAUUAAAAGAUACCAGAGUUACAAUGCAAUACUAUUUGGCAAUCAAAACUAAUGAAGCACAGAUGCAUGCUACAACACGAAUGAACUUUGAAACAUUGUGUUAAGUGAAAUAAACCAGUUAUUAUACAAGGCCACAUACUGUAUGAUUCCAUUUGUAUAAAAUGUCCAAAAUAAGCACAUCUGUAGAGACAGAAAUCAGAUUGGUGGUUGUCUAGAGCUGGCGGAGGGGAGGGAUGGGGAUUGUUCGAGGCAAAUGGGGAGUGACUCACAAAGAGUACCAGUUUCUUUUUAGGGCAAUAAAAUCUUUUAAAUUG
RNAcentral lists this long non-coding RNA (1972 nucleotides) under Pan troglodytes (chimpanzee). RNAcentral's name for it is "lincRNA". Lineage: Eukaryota; Metazoa; Chordata; Mammalia; Primates; Hominidae. The record is from RNAcentral.